Molecule: ribosomal RNA, 253 nt
Filed under: uncultured bacterium
Lineage: Bacteria
Description: partial 16S ribosomal RNA
Rfam family: Bacterial small subunit ribosomal RNA
Source: RNAcentral
UACGAACCGUACAAACGUUAUUCGGAAUCACUGGGCUUAAAGGGUGCGUAGGCGGCCAUGUAAGUGGGGUGUGAAAUCCCUCGGCUCAACCGAGGAACUGCGCUCCAUACUGCAUGGCUUGAGGGAGACAGGGGUAAGCGGAACUGAUGGUGGAGCGGUGAAAUGCGUUGAUAUCAGGAGGAAUACCGAUGGCGAAGGCAGGUCUCUGGGCUGACACUGACGCUCAUGCACGAAAGCGUGGGGAGCAAACAGG